UCCCUGGUAGUAUAUCGGUUAGUACACGCGCCUGUCAUGUUAAUGGAGGCGAUUAGUGAUUUAUCGCGCGAAAGCUGGGUUCGACUCCCAGCCAGGGAG
Molecule: non-coding RNA, 99 nt
Organism: Paramarasmius palmivorus
Lineage: Eukaryota; Fungi; Basidiomycota; Agaricomycetes; Agaricales; Marasmiaceae
Source: the annotation of a GenBank genome assembly